GCCCUAUCACUAUAGGGCGUGACGCACGGCUGAGUAACACGUGGCUAACCUGCCCUAGGGACUGGGAUAACUCCAGGAAACUGGAGCUAAACCCGGGUAGGUGAGGAGUCCUGGAAUGGUUCCUCGCCCAAAGAGAUCUCAAGGGGUUAAUGCUUGAGAUCUGCCCUAGGAUGGGGCUACGUCCCAUCAUGGUUGUUGGCGGGGUAAUGGCCCGCCAAGCCAACGACGGGUAGGGGCCCUGAGAGGGGGAGCCCCCAGAUGGACCCUGAGACAAGGGUCCAGGCCCUACGGGGCGCACCAGGCGCGAAACCUCUGCAAUGUGGGAAACCGUGACAGGGUUAUCCCGAGUGCUCCCGUUAAGGGAGCUUUUCCUCGCUGUAAGGAGGCGAGGGAAUAAGCGGGGGGCAAGACUGGUGUCAGCCGCCGCGGUAAUACCAGCCCCGCGAGUGGUCGGGACGAUUACUGGGCCUAAAGCGCCCGUAGCCGGUCUGAUAAGUCCUCUCUGAAAGCUCCGGGCUCAACCCGGAGAGCGGAGAGGAUACUUUCAGGCUAGGGGGCGGGAAAGGCCGGGGGUACUCCUAGGGUAGGGGCGAAAUCCGAUAAUCCUAGGAGGACCACCAGUGGCGAAGGCGCCCGGCUGGAACGCGCCCGACGGUGAGGGGCGAAAGCUGGGGGAGCGA
This 680-nucleotide ribosomal RNA is filed under the name uncultured archaeon. Its description in RNAcentral is "bacterial SSU rRNA". It matches the Rfam family "Archaeal small subunit ribosomal RNA", at positions 64 to 722 of the family's 1478-position model. The record is from RNAcentral.